Molecule: ribosomal RNA, 763 nt
Filed under: uncultured bacterium gp4
Lineage: Bacteria
Description: bacterial SSU rRNA
Rfam family: Bacterial small subunit ribosomal RNA
Source: RNAcentral
UGCAAGUCGAACGCGAAAGUUCCCUUCGGGGAAUAAGUAGAGUGGCGCACGGGUGAGUAACACGUAGGUAAUCUACCUUCGGGUGGGGAAUAACCCAGGGAAACUUGGGCUAACACCGCAUAAUGCAGCGGCACCACAUGGUGACAGUUGUUAAAGCGGGGGAUUUCCGGACCUCGCGCCUGAAGAGGAACCUGCGGCGGAUUAGCUAGUUGGUGAGGUAACGGCUCACCAAGGUAACGAUCCGUAGCCGGCCUGAGAGGGCGGUCGGCCACACUGACACUGACAUACGGGUCAGACUCCUACGGGAGGCAGCAGUCGGGAAUUUUGGGCAAUGGGCGAAAGCCUGACCCAGCAACGCCGCGUGAAGGAUGAAAUCCCUCGGGAUGUAAACUUCGCAAGAAUGGGAAGAAUUAGCGAGCGCUAAUACCGCUCGUGAUGACGGUACCAUUUGUAAGCUCCGGCUAACUCCGUGCCAGCAGCCGCGGUAAUACGGGGGGAGCAAGCGUUGUUCGGAUUUACUGGGCGUAAAGGGCGCGUAGGCGGCCAGCGCAAGUCAGUUGUGAAAUCUCCGGGCUUAACUCGGAAAGGUCAACUGAUACUGCGCGGCUAGAGUGCGGAAGGGGCAACUGGAAUUCUCGGUGUAGCGGUGAAAUGCGUAGAUAUCGAGAGGAACACCUGCGGCGAAGGCGGGUUGCUGGGCCGACACUGACGCUGAGGCGCGAAAGCCAGGGGAGCGAACGGGAUUAGAUACCCCGGUAGUCCU